This 23-nucleotide small nuclear RNA is filed under the name Arabidopsis thaliana (thale cress). RNAcentral describes it as "snRNA_09129". The record is from RNAcentral. Lineage: Eukaryota; Viridiplantae; Streptophyta; Magnoliopsida; Brassicales; Brassicaceae.
CGUUGAAAUCUUUCAAGAUCUAC